AUUGAACGCUGGCGGCAUGCUUUACACAUGCAAGUCGAACGGCAGCGCGGGCUUCGGCCUGGCGGCGAGUGGCGAACGGGUGAGUAAUACAUCGGAACGUGCCCAGUAGUGGGGGAUAGCUCGGCGAAAGCCGGAUUAAUACCGCAUACGGCCUGAGGGGGAAAGCGGGGGAUCUUCGGACCUCGCGCUAUUGGAGCGGCCGAUGGCAGAUUAGCUAGUUGGUGGGGUAAAGGCCUACCAAGGCGACGAUCUGUAGCUGGUCUGAGAGGACGACCAGCCACACUGGGACUGAGACACGGCCCAGACUCCUACGGGAGGCAGCAGUGGGGAAUUUUGGACAAUGGGCGAAAGCCUGAUCCAGCAAUGCCGCGUGUGUGAUGAAGGCCUUCGGGUUGUAAAGCACUUUUGGCGGGAACGAAAAGGACUGUGCCAAUACCACGGUUCGAUGACGGUACCCGCAGAAUAAGCACCGGCUAACUACGUG
Molecule: ribosomal RNA, 484 nt
Filed under: uncultured bacterium
Lineage: Bacteria
Description: partial 16S ribosomal RNA
Rfam family: Bacterial small subunit ribosomal RNA
Source: RNAcentral